Molecule: non-coding RNA, 587 nt
Organism: Myodes glareolus (Bank vole)
Lineage: Eukaryota; Metazoa; Chordata; Mammalia; Rodentia; Cricetidae
Source: RefSeq, a predicted model, not a curated record
UCUGGUCUCUCCCACGGCCCAUAGGGAGCACGGAGGAGCCCAGCCUAUGUUUAUAAGAACAUAGCUUGAUGAGCAGGGACAGCAAUCUAGUGAUGCCAGAGAUGGAGAGGACCAAAUAGAAGCCGCAGACCAGGGGAUCAUGCACCUAUUGAUGUCUGAAUCACCUUGUUGAAAGUCUCCUCUCUGAGGACAAGAUUGGAAAAUUCUAGAUAAAGAAAUAUGUCAGAAGCUCUGCAUAAACAAACCACUCCGAGCAUUAAGACUGAUGUCAGUUGUUGGAAUAAACGUUGAACAAAUUCUUCAGACGCUGACCAAAGCCCUAUGUUGAAACUCCAACUCCUUACUGCUCAUUGCCAUUGCCAAACUCAGUCACUCACUAUGACCCUCAUCUUGAUAGGCAGGACAAGGCGGCUUCCAAAAUCAGACAGCCUUGUCUGGACAAACAGUUCCAGGAGGGAGAAACUGCAGGCUUGCACGUAGCCCUAGCCUUUGCAUUCCCCAAACCUCCUAUAUGAAUCCCAAGUUCCCCUUCUCCUUUGGGAAACACCCAUUUCUAACUGUGUCUGCCCCAUAAUGUUUGAGAUAAA